UACGUAGGGUGCGAGCGUUAAUCGGAAUUACUGGGCGUAAAGCGCACGUAGGCGGCUUUGUAAGUCAGAGGUGAAAGCCUGGAGCUCAACUCCAGAACUGCCUUUGAGACUGCAUCGCUUGAAUCCAGGAGAGGUGAGUGGAAUUCCGAGUGUAGAGGUGAAAUUCGUAGAUAUUCGGAAGAACACCAGUGGCGAAGGCGGCUCACUGGACUGGUAUUGACGCUGAGGUGCGAAAGCGUGGGGAGCAAACAGG
Molecule: ribosomal RNA, 253 nt
Filed under: uncultured bacterium
Lineage: Bacteria
Description: partial 16S ribosomal RNA
Rfam family: Bacterial small subunit ribosomal RNA
Source: RNAcentral